CAGGAUCCGAUGACGCAACUAUUAACUGCGUUAUCUUUCUGCAAUCUUGAAGGGUGCUGAAGAACACAUGGCCUGCUGAGAUCCAUG
Panicum virgatum (switchgrass) is the source of this 87-nucleotide small nucleolar RNA. RefSeq annotates it as small nucleolar RNA snoR27. The transcript has a single exon. Lineage: Eukaryota; Viridiplantae; Streptophyta; Magnoliopsida; Poales; Poaceae. The record is from RefSeq and is a predicted model, not a curated record.